CAUUAUGUGACAGGUUUUCAGGUGAGAUGAACGAGUUUUAAAACAAAACAGUCUGCGGUUUUAAGAAGCGAUUUCUAGGAUGUAUGUGUGUUUCAGGAGCCAUCUGCACCUUGGAAGCAUACAAUGGAAGGAUGAUGGAAUAUACGAAGUUGUUACAGGAAGUGACUUUGUCAUUCCUAAAGUUGCAUUUUGAGACAACUCUUCAAAGUAAUACAUAAAUGACCGUGGAAGUAAUUUUACAAAGGUCACUAAGAAAUUGAAAGGAAAAGGAGUGGACUUGGACAACAAUCGGUUUUUGAUUCUUCAGGGUGAAGUCGAGCAAAUUUCUCUAAUGAAGCUAAAGAUCUGUAUUUUCAGCAUUAUUGUAAGUGUAAUUGUAAUUGAUUAAAUGAAGGAUUAUAAUUGAUUGUAAUUGAAUGAA
Magnolia sinica is the source of this 421-nucleotide long non-coding RNA. RefSeq lists it as uncharacterized. The record is from RefSeq and is a predicted model, not a curated record. NCBI's taxonomy places the organism in Eukaryota, Viridiplantae, Streptophyta, Magnoliopsida, Magnoliales, Magnoliaceae. The transcript has 3 exons.